AGGAUGAACGCNAGCGACAGGCUUAACACAUGCAAGUCGAGGGGCAGCACGAUGUAGCAAUACAUUGGUGGCGACCGGCGCACGGGUGCGUAACACGUAUGCAACCUACCCAUAAGCGGGGAAUAACCCGGAGAAAUCCGGACUAAUACCGCAUAGUACGUUUGAGUGGCAUCACUUAAACUUUAAAGAUUUAUCACUUAUGGAUGGGCAUGCGCAUGAUUAGAUAGUAGGCGGGGUAACGGCCCACCUAGUCAACGAUCAUUAGGGGUUCUGAGAGGAAGGUCCCCCACAUUGGUACUGAGCCAGGAUCAAACUCU
RNAcentral lists this ribosomal RNA (317 nucleotides) under uncultured bacterium. Its description in RNAcentral is "bacterial SSU rRNA". It matches the Rfam family "Bacterial small subunit ribosomal RNA", at positions 26 to 339 of the family's 1533-position model. The record is from RNAcentral.